ACGAACGCUGGCGGCGUGCUUAACACAUGCAAGUCGAACGGAAAGGCCCCUUUGGGGGUACUCGAGUGGCGAACGGGUGAGUAACACGUGAGUAACCUGCCCUUGACUUCGGGAUAACUUCAGGAAACUGGGGCUAAUACCGGAUAGGAAUCCUUGCUGCAUGGUGGGGGUUGGAAAGCUUCGGCGGUUUUGGAUGGACUCGCGGCUUAUCAGCUUGUUGGUGGGGUAGUGGCUUACCAAGGCUUUGACGGGUAGCCGGCCUGAGAGGGCGACCGGCCACAUUGGGACUGAGAUACGGCCCAGACUCCUACGGGAGGCAGCAGUGGGGAAUAUUGCACAAUGGGCGGAAGCCGGAUGCAGCAACGCCGCGUGCGGGAUGACGGCCUUCGGGUUGUAAACCGCUUUCAGCAGGGGCGAAGCUUGUGGUGACGGUACCUGCAGAAGAAGCACCGGCUAACUACGUG
Molecule: ribosomal RNA, 464 nt
Filed under: uncultured bacterium
Lineage: Bacteria
Description: partial 16S ribosomal RNA
Rfam family: Bacterial small subunit ribosomal RNA
Source: RNAcentral